Molecule: ribosomal RNA, 492 nt
Filed under: uncultured bacterium
Lineage: Bacteria
Description: partial 16S ribosomal RNA
Rfam family: Bacterial small subunit ribosomal RNA
Source: RNAcentral
AGUGAACGCUGGCGGUAGGCCUAACACAUGCAAGUCGAACGGCAGCACAGUAAGAGCUUGCUCUUACGGGUGGCGAGUGGCGGACGGGUGAGGAAUACAUCGGAAUCUACUUUUUCGUGGGGGAUAACGUAGGGAAACUUACGCUAAUACCGCAUACGACCUACGGGUGAAAGCAGGGGAUCUUCGGACCUUGCGCGAUUGAAUGAGCCGAUGUCGGAUUAGCUAGUUGGCGGGGUAAAGGCCCACCAAGGCGACGAUCCGUAGCUGGUCUGAGAGGAUGAUCAGCCACACUGGAACUAAGACACGGUCCAGACUCCUACGGGAGGCAGCAGUGGGGAAUAUUGGACAAUGGGCGCAAGCCUGAUCCAGCCAUACCGCGUGGGUGAAGAAGGCCUUCGGGUUGUAAAGCCCUUUUGUUGGGAAAGAAAGGCAGCAGGUUAAUACCCCGCUGUUCUGACGGUACCCAAAGAAUAAGCACCGGCUAACUUCGUG